UCAGACGAUGCGUCAUGCAUAUCAAUAAGCGGAGGAAAAGAAACUAACAAGGAUUCCCCUAGUAACGGCGAGUGAAGCGGGAAGAGCUCAAAUUUGAAAUCUUAAAGGGUUUCCCUUUACGAAUUGUAGUUUAAAGAAGUGUUUUCUGUUGAGGUUUUGGUAAAAGUUCUUUGGAAUAGGACAUCAUAGAGGGUGAGAAUCCCGUAUUUGACCUUUACUUUCAACUUUGUGAUACACUUUCAAAGAGUCGGAUUGUUUGGGAAUGCAGUCCAAAAUGGGUGGUAAAUUUCAUCUAAAGCUAAAUAUUGGCGAGAGACCGAUAGCGAACAAGUACCGUGAGGGAAAGAUGAAAAGAACUUUGAAAAGAGAGUUAAACAGUACGUGAAAUUGUCAAAAGGGAAGCGUUUGACACCAGUGUUGUUUUUCUGAAAAUCAAUUAAAGAACUGUUUAUGCUAAGCUGUUUAGACUUUAUCAGCUAUCUGUUUAGUUUUGAGCUUUUCUUUAAUGCACUUUUCAGUUAACAAGUCAACAUCAAUUUCUUUUGCUGUAAAAAAGCUUGAGGAAGGUGGCUUGAGAUUCGUCUUAAGUGUUUAUAGCCUCUUGCCUCUGCAGUCGGAGAGACUGAGGUCUGCAGCGUAGACUCCUCGGGGCUUAAAUGCAUUUGUGCUAAGUUAUAGCAUUUUAUAGACAACUUGUUGACUAUGAUUAGUCUUGUAGCUUACUCGCUUAUGCUAUUUUACCUACGCUUAGGAUGUUGACGAUCAGCUGAGCGCG
RNAcentral lists this ribosomal RNA (775 nucleotides) under uncultured Neocallimastigales. RNAcentral's name for it is "partial large subunit ribosomal RNA". It matches the Rfam family "Eukaryotic large subunit ribosomal RNA", at positions 18 to 635 of the family's 3401-position model. The record is from RNAcentral. Lineage: Eukaryota; Fungi; Neocallimastigomycota; Neocallimastigomycetes; Neocallimastigales.